GAUUGCUUUUAUGUCUAGGGGUCAGAGGAACAUGUUAGAGUGAAGCCAAGUUUUAAAAGGAAGGUUCAAAUAUGCACUAGGUUUUGCCCAGGAUCCAGGAGGAAGCAUUGUGUAUAAAGAAGAAGCUCUGUUUGGAUGGACACGUGGGGGUGAUCUGGGACAUAGAAACCUGGAAAAGCUGAUGAAAGCUGAUUUUCCCUUGAAGAAGACAUUUGGAAUGAAGCAAUGUGACCUUUAAUCACCCUCAGACCUCUUUUUGUUCUUGUUCCAGGACAUUCUAAGAGGAGCCAAGAUGGUUAACUAGACGUAGCCAGGAGGAACAUCUCCCACCAAGAGACUGAGCUGUCAGGAAGACUGGUACAUUCUGAGCAGAUCUUUGGAGGGAAGGCAUUGAGAGUGGAUGGAAGGAUGAUGCAGACACUGGGCUGAAGAGGAAGGAAGCUGGGAACCCUGUACAGGACUACCGAGCACCAGGACUUGUUUCUGGCCCCCUGCAACUCCUGGGAAAGGGGGUUUUAGCCAGAUGAUACCAAAAUGACCCCAGAACCAGAAGAUGGCAGAGCCACAAAGUGAAAAAUACUUGGGUCUCUGAAUCAUAGCUUGGAGGAGGGCUUCCUGGAAAACCAUCCCAACAGAGACAUCCGCAUUAAACUUUGUGUAAACAAAAAAUAAAUCUUUCUUGUGGUAGGCCACUGAGAUUUAGAUUGCUACAGCAGCUAACCGAUCUGACCAAUACAGCAGAGAACUCCUCCAGUGCUCUCAAGUGUUUUACAGACCACUAAUUAUUAAAUGUGGAAGCUCUGGAGCAGAGAACCUUUCAACUGAAAUGAUGACAAACGAUGCUGGCUGAGGAGAGUCAGACCUGAAAAGUUAGGAAUCCCUAAAAUGACGUCAACCUAUAAUUCCUAUUACAGAGCUCUGAUUUCUACUGAUCGUUUUAGGAACCAUAUCUACUAUGUGAGAAAAGCUGCUGGUGGGCCUAAUUUAGAUGAAAAGCAGAAAGGCCUUAAAAAAGAAAUGGGAAAGGAAUAUACAGAAGCAAGAAGAUGAUUGAAAAAAGAUGGCAAUUCAUGUACUUGUUGAACACCAGUUCUGAGCUGCAGAGCAGGAGGCACAAGACGUAAACAAAAAAGUCUCUGUUACGGUCCUAAAGAAGCCAAUCAUCUAGAGAAAUGUAUGCACAGCAGGUCCAGCAGAAUGGGCUUUGCGCUGAUGAGGGAAGCAAGAGGAGAGCAUGGCCUGGGAAAGGAGAUGAUCAGGCUCACUUCCCAUUUCUCUGUGGAAGAACCGUGGCAAACACAGAGUCAACUCACAACGUUCAUUGGAAUUUUUCCCACUUGACUCCUUCGCAAGUUGGAAUAAGGAGUUUGGAAAGGGAGGAUUUCUUCAUAUAAAAAUGGUCUGGGUAUAUCCACGCAAAACUAAAGGGAGUGGAAGAGACCCUAGGUCUACACAUUUGAUGGGAUAGAUCCUUCGGGCUCAGCCUCACCUGCAGGUACUGAAGGAAGCCUUAGUCUGCUAUACAGAGCACUCUGCACCAUGGGGAGAAGAUCAAUAUGCUAAACUUGGGUACUGGGCCUAAAUCUUACGAAGUGACCUCAAACCUAGGAAGGUAAGUGAAACACAAUAAUGGGCAAUAUGCAGGCAGUUGGGCCAGGAAGGCCCUAGUCACUCUGUUAGAGUUAAAGGUUGGUUUCUUGUCCCUGGGAAGAGGCAUGAGAAGGAAGCUGUAUAGCAUGGUAGCUGGAAGUUUGCAAUUUGGAGUCAGGUGGACCUAAGUUUAGAUCCUCACUCUAUGGCUUUACCAACUACAUGG
RNAcentral lists this long non-coding RNA (1816 nucleotides) under Homo sapiens (human). RNAcentral describes it as "non-protein coding LINC00536:5". The record is from RNAcentral. Lineage: Eukaryota; Metazoa; Chordata; Mammalia; Primates; Hominidae.